RNAcentral lists this ribosomal RNA (505 nucleotides) under uncultured bacterium. RNAcentral's name for it is "partial 16S ribosomal RNA". It matches the Rfam family "Bacterial small subunit ribosomal RNA", at positions 28 to 507 of the family's 1533-position model. The record is from RNAcentral.
GACGAACGCUGGCGGCGUGCCUAAUACAUGCAAGUAGAACGCACAGUUUAUACCGUAGCUUGCUACACCAUAAACUGUGAGUUGCGAACGGGUGAGUAACGCGUAGGUAACCUGCCUGGUAGCGGGGGAUAACUAUUGGAAACGAUAGCUAAUACCGCAUAAUAUUAAUUAUUGCAUGAUAAUUGAUUGAAAGAUGCAAUUGCAUCACUACCAGAUGGACCUGCGUUGUAUUAGCUAGUAGGUGAGGUAACGGCUCACCUAGGCGACGAUACAUAGCCGACCUGAGAGGGUGAUCGGCCACACUGGGACUGAGACACGGCCCAGACUCCUACGGGAGGCAGCAGUAGGGAAUCUUCGGCAAUGGACGAAAGUCUGACCGAGCAACGCCGAGUGAGUGAAGAAGGUUUUCGGAUCGUAAAGCUCUGUUGUAAGAGAAGAACGGGUGUGAGAGUGGAAAGUUCACACUGUGACGGUAUCUUACCAGAAAGGGACGGCUAACUACGUG